This 163-nucleotide unclassified non-coding RNA is filed under the name uncultured Conlarium. Its description in RNAcentral is "sequence contains ITS1". Lineage: Eukaryota; Fungi; Ascomycota; Sordariomycetes. The record is from RNAcentral.
CAGAGUUGCAAAACUCCCUAAACCCUUUGUUUAUAUACCUGUUCAGUUGCUUCGGCAGGCGGCCCCAGGGCGGGGCCUCCAGCCUGCUCACGCAGGUGCCUGCCGCUGGCGCAAAAACCUCUUUUGUUAUAUAUUACCAUCCGAGUCUCACAAAAAUGAAUCA